CCUUCCUUUUCUUUCCUCUAGGCCUGCUUGAAGCCAUUUAGGAAACCUUUGCUGAGAGCCUCCAUCAGAGCUCCUCCCGCAAACUCUGCUGGAAACAGAAAUAGGAAGUUUAUGGUAUUAUUUACC
Molecule: long non-coding RNA, 126 nt
Filed under: Neogale vison (American mink)
Lineage: Eukaryota; Metazoa; Chordata; Mammalia; Carnivora; Mustelidae
Description: Neovison vison (American mink) lncRNA (ENSNVIG00000001764.1)
Source: RNAcentral